RNAcentral lists this ribosomal RNA (515 nucleotides) under uncultured bacterium. Its description in RNAcentral is "bacterial SSU rRNA". It matches the Rfam family "Bacterial small subunit ribosomal RNA", at positions 8 to 518 of the family's 1533-position model. The record is from RNAcentral.
AGAGUUUGAUUCUGGCUCAGGAUGAACGCUAGCUACAGGCUUAACACAUGCAAGUCGAGGGGUAGCAGGGUAGCAAUACCGCUGACGACCGGCGCACGGGUGAGUAACACGUAUCCAACCUUCCCAUAACUCAGGGAUAGCCUUUCGAAAGAAAGAUUAAUACCUGAUAGUACUUUUUCAAGGCAUCUUGAGAAAGUUAAAGAUUUAUUGGUUAUGGAUGGGGAUGCGUUCCAUUAGAUAGUUGGUGAGGUAACGGCUCACCAAGUCUUCGAUGGAUAGGGGUUCCCGAGAGGAAGGUCCCCCACAUUGGUACUGAGACACGGACCAAACUCCUACGGGAGGCAGCAGUGAGGAAUAUUGGUCAAUGGGCGAGAGCCUGAACCAGCCAAGUAGCGUGAAGGAAUGAAGGUCCUAUGGAUUGUAAACUUCUUUUAUAGUAGAAUAAAGUGAUCCACGUGUGGAUUUUUGUAUGUAUACUAUGAAUAAGGAUCGGCUAACUCCGUGCCAGCCGCCGC